GGGGGUGUAGCUCAGUGGUAGAGCACAUGCCUAGAAUGCAGGAGGCCCUGGGUUCCAUCCUAGCAUUGCAA
This 71-nucleotide transfer RNA is filed under the name Marmota marmota marmota (Alpine marmot). It matches the Rfam family "tRNA". From Rfam's summary of the family: Transfer RNA (tRNA) molecules are approximately 80 nucleotides in length. Their secondary structure includes four short double-helical elements and three loops (D, anti-codon, and T loops). The record is from Rfam by way of RNAcentral. Lineage: Eukaryota; Metazoa; Chordata; Mammalia; Rodentia; Sciuridae. RNAcentral also lists the same sequence under 2 other names.